UAGGGAAUCUUCGGCAAUGGACGAAAGUCUGACCGAGCAACGCCGCGUGAGUGAAGAAGGUUUUCGGAUCGUAAAACUCUGUUGUUAGAGAAGAACAAGGACGUUAGUAACUGAACGUCCCCUGACGGUAUCUAACCAGAAAGCCACGGCUAACUACGUGCCAGCAGCCGCGGUAAUACGUAGGUGGCAAGCGUUGUCCGGAUUUAUUGGGCGUAAAGCGAGCGCAGGCGGUUUCUUAAGUCUGAUGUGAAAGCCCCCGGCUCAACCGGGGAGGGUCAUUGGAAACUGGGAGACUUGAGUGCAGAAGAGGAGAGUGGAAUUCCAUGUGUAGCGGUGAAAUGCGUAGAUAUAUGGAGGAACACCAGUGGCGAAGGCGGCUCUCUGGUCUGUAACUGACGCUGAGGCUAGGAAGCGUGGGGAGCAAACAGG
This 429-nucleotide ribosomal RNA is filed under the name Gemmatimonadota bacterium. RNAcentral describes it as "Gemmatimonadetes bacterium partial 16S ribosomal RNA". It matches the Rfam family "Bacterial small subunit ribosomal RNA", at positions 355 to 776 of the family's 1533-position model. Lineage: Bacteria; Pseudomonadati; Gemmatimonadota. The record is from RNAcentral.